UGUCAUUAUUUUUCACAGAAAGGCCAAGAUAGCGCGCAAAACUAAAGGGUUGAUUCCUCCGGUUGUGAAAGCGGCGAAUGGCAAUCUGUCAGAGGAAAUAAAACUGAUAAAGCAAGCUCCUCCUGACUCUUCUAGUUCAGGUAUGUCUGAAGUUUUCUAGUUUCCUUCUAUAGCUACAAUUUGUUGGUGCAGUUCUAUGUUAUGCGGUCAAUUGUUUCUGUAGUUUUAUUAUUAUUAUUAUUAUUAUUAUAAUAUUGUAUGCUCUAUGCCUAAAGUAAUAUCAACUGUUUUCCUGUGAAAUGUCUUAAUUGUUCUAAUUUUGCCUUUGUUCCAUCUUUCCUGAAUCUCUAGGUUUAAAAAAAUAAAACAAAAUUCUUUCCCUAGUUCAUUUAAGUUAGUUUAGGAACUUUUGAAUUUCGAAAAUAGUGUAAUGGUGUAAUAAAACUUGUGUGAAUGGAACACGAACUCAUAAAUCGGGUAAAUGCCUAUUUAGUAUUGAACUUAAAAUACCUAUAGAUUUUUUGUGAAUUUGAAAUUCAUAGUUUAUACCUUUCAUGUAUAUUCGCAUUGAACCAUUACUAAUUUAUAUAUAAUGUAUACUUUUCGUUCUCAUAAUUUAUGAAACAAGUGAAAUCCAAAUCCGAAUUUUCAAACACAUGUUUCCGAACAUACCGUUAGAGGUCUUUUUCUCCUUAUAAAAAUUAUGGGGGAGCUGUUGCUAUUGGCACUUGUUUGUUCUUGAUUUGAAUUGCAUUGUGAUGGAAAAACCAAGAUAAUGAAUUUUAUCAAAAUGCACUUAUAUCCAUCUGUUGUUGUAGAAGAUGUUAAUAUUUUUCAAAGGGGGAACCUAAAUAUAGGAAAAAAUCUUCCAUUUCACAGGGCAAAAAAACUAAGGAUAUGUGGGUGUAUUGAUUAUGUAAACUGAAGGUCUAAUAAGAGUUACAUGAUGCGUGCCCAAUAUCCGAGUAAUAAAGUGAUUUAAGAAUAGAAGCAGAAAAAAAAAAAGAAUUAGAAACAGAAGAACAAAUGUUAGAGAGAAAAUAGAAUAUUAGAGAGGAAGUUUUUCUUUGUAAUUUUCGGUACCCUGCCCAGCCACCACUUCUCAUUUCCCGUAUAAUAUUGUGCUAAUGUAAUUCCAAAUAUGCCAUUUAAGGCCUGCCUAAUGACCCCCAACACUUGGGUACCAGACAGCCCAAUGUUAACAAUCUAUACUGACAUACCAAUCCCAUUUACUAUCCUCAAACACAAAACCAUAUAAAAUUUGACCUGCAACAUUACACAGUUCAGCGACAUUGACUAAGUCAGAAUAUUCUGCAAAUGCCCUUUAAAUACUUGGAGCUUCUAUCUGAGUUCUUCAAAGUGUUGCUACACAAGGUGGAAUCAAAUGUUUUCUAUUCCCCUAUAUUACUUUGAUUUGGAUCAGAUACAGCUAUGCAGCCUAUAGGGAUUUUUAAAUUUUUUUAUUUUAUUAAAAACAUAAUGUAUUUGGAGGAUUCUUGGAGAGUCCUAUCCUUGUACCUACGUCCAUAUAUGCAUUGGAUACAUAUGGUUGCUUGAAAAAAAUGAAGAAUUGGAGCAAAAUAGCUAUUCCCACCAUUAGGUUAUUGUACUGUUGGCUCGAUCAUUAUCACCGUAAAGAUGUCCUUCCACAGUUUGCCUUUCUUCUGAAAGGUUAAAAAUGAUGUACAUUGAGCAAGAGGCAGAUGCUGUCAAUGGUCUUGAGAUGCACUCAUUAAUAUCCUUGUUGAAGAUGUACCUGCCACUCUCUGCCGCUAACUUGAUUUUCUGAAUCUCCUCACUAACAUCAGCAAUUCCGAAGCUUGUGAUAGGAGGCAAACUGUUUUUCAAUUGUGAAGCCGGUCGCGAUGGAAAAUUAAAUGGAGGAAAAUGUUCUUCUGUGACUAAGGCUUUCUGGUUAGACACUGAGAAGGAAAACAUACAUCAAUUUUUUUUAUAGGAUUUACAGUCAUCCUCACCACGACAGACAAAGUGAGCAGCUACUUAUUCCAACUAAGAUGAGGGGCUUCAACCACUGAUGCUGUCAUUGGAAAGAACAAGGAUGCUUUUUAGCUUUAGUCCGAGACUACCUUAAAAAUUAGCUGGAUUUCACUCAAAUCUCUGGUCCGAGAUGAGUUGUGAGAGCAGCUUGAGGCUCCAUUUUGUUGAAGUUGAUUGAGUCACAUUGAACAAAAGAGUGAUUUGAAGGCUUCACCUUUGUCCAAAGGGUAUGGUUUAGGUGAAGAGACUAUGGCCUAGGAGUUGGUAUUGGUAAUUACUCAGGGUGGUAAUUUAAUUCUUUAAAUAUUUGUCUAAAUGGUGCUUUGACUCUCAUUAUUUGGUAUUUUGUCUUUAAGAUCACAUGGAUGGCUUUAAUUUGUUUGAUCAAUGACUUCCAACGCAGCUUGUAUUUUGAUGUUUUCUUUAUGCCUUCACAAUCUAUUAAGGUGGCCAUUGCCGCACAAUUUUGUUGAUUUUUUGGAGACACUGCUGUUUUAUGUGGAUGCUCGUAAGAGUGUCUUGGGUGUUUUUAGGAGUGUCCUUCAUUUAGGUGUACCGUUGUGUCCUUGAUGCAGUGAUGUUGAUUUCUUCAAAGGUGUUUGUAUUUAGCUUAUCUUGUUUACUAACCUUUUGGUUAGUUUUUCACCCUUCCUGGGUUUAUUAAUAUAAUUAUAUUUGGCUGAGAAAAAAAUAGUGUAAAUGCGAAGGAAGACCAUACAAUGACUCGUAGGUUUGUCAACUGUCUACCCGUGGUGAAUUGCAGCCACCUCCUUGGCGAGAAAUUUGUAAGCUCUUUACACAUACACGUACGUAUAUAUAUAUAUAAUAUACAUAUACAUAUACAUGUACAUGGUAUGUUAUUUGGUGCACUUACUGUUUUUCAGAUUUUGUAUAAUCAUCAAAACAAAGUGCCCUAGCUUCGGAGUUAACGCCUAGUGCGCGACUGUAGGAUGGUACGUCGUUGCCCCUACGCCACAAACUUCGAAACUCGGCCUCUAUCCGGCGCCGUAGUGCCGACGAAAACCCUCCUAGCUCAAUCUUUUUAGUGUUUUUUUGGUGGAGUGGACACCCCGAACAUUUUAAGGAUAUUUUGGUAUUUCAAAAUUUUAUAUCCGUUUUACUCACUUUAGUUGCUUUUCUAUUUUUCUUCAAAACCAAUCACAAUAGAAGAACAAUUUCGAAUGUACAUAAAGGGAGUGACUUCGAACAUUUGGUAAGACCGUUUUUAUUUGUUAUGUGAUUUUUUCUCAUUUUUGUUGGACUUGUUUGAUGAACACGUGGACAAAAGAUAGAUACGAUUAUGAAAUUAAUUCUUGGUCUACCCUCACU
Molecule: long non-coding RNA, 3327 nt
Filed under: Gossypium barbadense (sea-island cotton)
Lineage: Eukaryota; Viridiplantae; Streptophyta; Magnoliopsida; Malvales; Malvaceae
Description: long non-coding RNA (GBAR_LNC016387)
Source: RNAcentral